Long non-coding RNA from Cucumis melo (muskmelon), 427 nucleotides. RefSeq lists it as uncharacterized. NCBI's taxonomy places the organism in Eukaryota, Viridiplantae, Streptophyta, Magnoliopsida, Cucurbitales, Cucurbitaceae. The record is from RefSeq and is a predicted model, not a curated record. The transcript has 3 exons.
AGGGAGAAAAUGUUACACCCUGGAUUAUCGUUGAGCAUUGCCACGGACUCAACUCUACAAGUUUAAAUCCUACAAUAAGAAGUUGUAACAACUCCAGCAAAUUCAACAAUCUCCACCUUUAAAUCAAAUUCUCCUUGGCUUGAUCGUCUUCAUUCAAGAGAAAUGAAGCAGCUAAGAUUUAAAGCAACAAUCGAGUGACGGAUCAUGAUAGUGGUACACAGUCCUUGUAAAGAAGGGAAAGAAAUGGCGAAGAAAGAAGUGCUAAGGGGUAAUUUUGUAGAGUUGCUUUGAUGAUGAUGUAAGCAUGAUGUCAAAAUUCUUAAAUUUUGAAAACUAGACAAAGUUCAUUUUUGAAUUUUGUUUAUUUCUUAUAUGUAAAAAUGCUAACCUCUUUUAAUAACAUGUUAGUGUUUAAAGGAUGUUUUCA